This 497-nucleotide ribosomal RNA is filed under the name uncultured bacterium. Its description in RNAcentral is "partial 16S ribosomal RNA". It matches the Rfam family "Bacterial small subunit ribosomal RNA", at positions 28 to 507 of the family's 1533-position model. The record is from RNAcentral.
GAUGAACGCUGGCGGCGUGCCUAAUACAUGCAAGUCGAGCGAACGGACGAGAAGCUUGCUUUUCUGAUGUUAGCGGCGGACGGGUGAGUAACACGUGGAUAACCUACCUAUAAGACUGGGAUAACUUCGGGAAACCGGAGCUAAUACCGGAUAAUAUUUUGAACCGCAUGGUUCAAAAGUGAAAGACGGUCUUGCUGUCACUUAUAGAUGGAUCCACGCUGCAUUAGCUAGUUGGUAAGGUAACGGCUUACCAAGGCAACGAUGCAUAGCCGACCUGAGAGGGUGAUCGGCCACACUGGAACUGAGACACGGUCCAGACUCCUACGGGAGGCAGCAGUAGGGAAUCUUCCGCAAUGGGCGAAAGCCUGACGGAGCAACGCCGCGUGAGUGGUGAAGGUCUUCGGAUCGUAAAACUCUGUUAUUAGGGAAGAACAUAUGUGUAAGUAACUGUGCACAUCUUGACGGUACCUAAUCAGAAAGCCACGGCUAACUACGUG